Molecule: ribosomal RNA, 292 nt
Filed under: uncultured bacterium
Lineage: Bacteria
Description: partial 16S ribosomal RNA
Source: RNAcentral
GGACUACCCGGGUAUCUAAUCCCAUUCGCUACCCACGCUUUCAUGUUUCAGUGUCAGGAGUGCUCCAGUAUGCUGCCUUCGCUUUUGGUGUUCCCCAUAAUAUCAACGCAUUUCACCGCUACACUAUGAGUUCCGCAUACCCCUCGCAUCCUCGAGUCGUGCCGUUUCCCUUGCAGGUCCCCGGUUAAGCCGAAGAAUUUAACAAAAGACUAACACGACCACCUACACAUCCUUUACGCCCAAUAAUUCCGGAUAACGCUUGAGGCACUCGUAUUACCGCGGCUGCUGGCAC